Molecule: ribosomal RNA, 496 nt
Filed under: uncultured bacterium
Lineage: Bacteria
Description: partial 16S ribosomal RNA
Rfam family: Bacterial small subunit ribosomal RNA
Source: RNAcentral
AUGCACGCUGGCGGCGUGCCUAAUACAUGCAAGUCGCGCGAACAGACGAGGAGCUUGCUCCUCUGACGUUAGCGGCGGACGGGUGAGUAACACGUGGAUAACCUACCUAUAAGACUGGGAUAACUUCGGGAAACCGGAGCUAAUACCGGAUAAUAUAUUGAACCGCAUGGUUCAAUAGUGAAAGACGGUUUUGCUGUCACUUAUAGAUGGAUCCGCGCCGCAUUAGCUAGUUGGUAAGGUAACGGCUUACCAAGGCAACGAUGCGUAGCCGACCUGAGAGGGUGAUCGGCCACACUGGAACUGAGACACGGUCCAGACUCCUACGGGAGGCAGCAGUAGGGAAUCUUCCGCAAUGGGCGAAAGCCUGACGGAGCAACGCCGCGUGAGUGAUGAAGGUCUUCGGAUCGUAAAACUCUGUUAUUAGGGAAGAACAAAUGUGUAAGCAACUAUGCACGUCUUGACGGUACCUAAUCAGAAAGCCACGGCUAACUACGUG